RNAcentral lists this transfer RNA (66 nucleotides) under Anopheles sp. NFL-2015. RNAcentral's name for it is "tRNA-Pro". The record is from RNAcentral. Lineage: Eukaryota; Metazoa; Arthropoda; Insecta; Diptera; Culicidae.
CAAGAAAUAGUUUAUUUAAAAUAUUAACUUUGGGAGUUAGCGAAAAAGAAAUUUCUUUUUUCUUGA